CCUACGGGGGGCAGCAGUGGGGAAUAUUGGGCAAUGGGCGCAAGCCUGACCCAGCAACGCCGCGUGAAGGAAGAAGGCUUUCGGGUUGUAAACUUCUUUUGUCAGGGACGAAGCAAGUGACGGUACCUGACGAAUAAGCCACGGCUAACUACGUCCCAGCAGCCGCGGUAAUACGUAGGUGGCAAGCGUUAUCCGGAUUUACUGGGUGUAAAGGGCGUGUAGGCGGGACUGCAAGUCAGAUGUGAAAACCACGGGCUCAACCUGUGGCCUGCAUUUGAAACUGUAGUUCUUGAGUACUGGAGAGGCAGACGGAAGUCCUAGUGUAGCGGUGAAAUGCGUAGAUAUCACACAGAACACCGAUUGCGAAGGCAUCUCACGAAUCCGCGAUUGACGCUGAUGCACGAAAGCGUGGGUAUCAAACAGGAUUAGAUACCCCAGUAGUC
This 443-nucleotide ribosomal RNA is filed under the name uncultured bacterium. RNAcentral describes it as "partial 16S ribosomal RNA". It matches the Rfam family "Bacterial small subunit ribosomal RNA", at positions 338 to 795 of the family's 1533-position model. The record is from RNAcentral.